UCAUUUAAUUGAUGACUUGUAUGAAGGAUUGGAUGAAAUAUAAACUGUCUCUUAAUUAUUAUAUUUAGAAUUUAAUUUUUUAAUUAAAAAGUUAAAAUAUAUUAAAAAGACGAGAAGACCCUAUAGAGUUUUAUAAUUUAGGUUUAUUGAGAUUAUUUAUAAAAUUAAAAUUAAAAUUAAUCUAUUUAUUUUGUUGGGGUGACAGAAAAAUAUAAUAAACUUUUUAUAUAUUUUAACAUUAAUAAGUGAUUAAAUGAUCCAAUAUUAUUGAUUAUAAGAAAAAAUUACCUUAGGGAUAACAGCGUAAUUUUUUUUUUUAGUUCAUAUAAAAAGAAAAGUUUGCGACCUCGAUGUUGGAUUAAGAUAAAAUUUAAAUGUAGAAG
This 383-nucleotide ribosomal RNA is filed under the name Sesamia penniseti. Its description in RNAcentral is "partial 16S large subunit ribosomal RNA". The record is from RNAcentral. Lineage: Eukaryota; Metazoa; Arthropoda; Insecta; Lepidoptera; Noctuidae.